UGACACCAGGCUUUUAAGAAGGGAUAAAGCAGAUUACCAGAAAACACAGAGAGAUAAAACUAAUUAAAAAAAAAAGUGAUAAAAGUGUGAGAGUAUGUUUUUCUGCCGUUGGAUGUCAUUGCUAAUAUAAAUUCAUCGCGUUAGCGACUUUGAUGCAAGCGAAAGAGAAUUCGUUAAUUACGUUUGGUGCCAUUGUUGGAUGUUCUGUCAGUGUUCCGGUGAUGGAAAGGUUUGGUCGGAAGUUUGUCACCUACUCUGAAUUUCAGCCGUCUCUUUGACUCCAUGUUGUGCGCAAUACCAUUCGUUCUGAGAUGGCUUCUCAUUAGCUACGCUAAGGAUGUUGAAAUGCUUUACGCUGGACGGAUCCUAAAAGGCUUAGGAUGUGGAGUACUGCAAUAGUCCAUGUCCACCAUUUGCCCAAGGGUGUAAGCUGCUCUGCUGAGGACCAGCACUAACAUUGAGCCCUUUAUUAGCCUUCACAAUGAGUCACUUGUGUCGCUGGAAAUGGCUCAGGCUUUUAUAGCUGAAGUUACCCCGGCACUGCUCCUUAUUUUGAUGAUCGCCUUACCAGAUUCCAACCGCUGGCUGCGAGGGAAGAAUUUCGACAAUGAGACUAUAUGGAUGCUGAUGUUCGAGGAGAGUGCACUAUCGUUAAGGCUAAUCUAGGUGAGGCCAAUGAUGCGUCAGUCACUAAUUUUUAAAUCAAUCCUUCAGGCGGCUAGUGUGUCAGCUAAUAAUGUCUGCAGCGAAGACAAUUUUUAUCAGGCCUUAUUUUCGCCACCGCUCAUGUAGUGCUCAUCACUGCGAAUAUCGCUCUCGUAUUCAUUUUUUUUGUAUGAUUUUCAUAGCGGAGCUCUCAGCGUACGAAGCGCGCUGCGUUGCCUUUUACUUCUACAAAAUAGUAAUAAAUAAGAAGAUAGAUAGUGAAAGACUGCAUGCGGCUACUGGUAUAGCACAACUUUUGUAGCAUUGAAAAGAACUUCAAGUAGUAUAAUGAGGUAGUGUUGCAGAAUAUUUUCACACAUGCAAGACAGAAAACCUGCAGCAUUCCACGUAUUUAUACUGAAGUAACCUGUUCCUCAGGAAAAGAUGGUUUAAGAACACAUCGUCUAAUUUUCAUUCAACCAAUAAUGAAAAUGUUAAUAUGGAUUACAAUUAUAGUAACAUAAUGAUAAUUCAAAGGGAAUAACUCGAAAGUCUCGUGGUUCCCCCAUUCCCUCGGCUCUAACAAUGAUUACUUACGCCUCUUUUAUAUUUUCUCGCUAAUUGGAAAUACUUUUUCUCAUUUUAUUGCAAAUCCAGUUUUUGAGACUUUUGUAAUAGGAUAUUCCGUCAUUCUGCGUCUUUAGAUAUCAUUUAGAUAUUAGUUAUCAGAGGAGGUUGACACGUUACAGAAAAAUCGGUGAAGCAAGCAGUCAUACCUAGUGACAUCAAGAGAAGAUAUAAGAGAAGCCCAUACGAUUCUGGCAUGCAGCGGUAAGCGAACAUCAAGGCGAAAUUGGAUUGAAAAGAAAAUGGCGACCUGAUAAAUAGUACCAUUACACGGGGAUAUAUGAAAGAGACGGCGAAGUAAUUGAACUUUAAUCAAGUUCUAUAGUGUCUCGUAAACUGAAAGCAGUAAAUUAAGAGGAAUAAAGGCUGAUAUUUUCUAAAGAAACUGUUUGGGGCUGCGUC
Molecule: long non-coding RNA, 1674 nt
Organism: Stylophora pistillata
Lineage: Eukaryota; Metazoa; Cnidaria; Anthozoa; Scleractinia; Pocilloporidae
Source: RefSeq, a predicted model, not a curated record